CCCACAGGAAGCAGCCAAUUGGAUAGCAGGAUGGUACUGGGUGCAGCAGCCAAGGAGAGCCUGGGGAGCAAGCCAGCCAAUCAGGCGCCGGGUGCUCAGGUAAAGCCGCUGGUGUCAGGAUCUGCCGUGCUUGAUGUGGGAUCCAUUCACAUCCAGAGUUCCAAAGUCGCAGGCCUUCAGAUCGGACACGGAAACACCAUGACCAUCACGAGGAAGACCAAGGGCAGAAAGAAGAGCAAGCAUUAGCGUCGCUCCCGGGAGCGGCUGCACCUACGGAUUCCCACCCACCCGACAAACGCCACAGCCCGGCCUCGCGGAUCAUUCCGGAAACCCCUUCCCCCUGAAGGACACAGUUCGGAGGAAACCACAAGCUGUGAAGAUUAAAUUGUCCUUCGUAUUUUCUCUCAAUCUGUAUUGGGAUUGUGCCGGCUAACACCCACGUCAAGAACAUGAGAAACUGGAGGGCCAUUCAGCCCCUCAACCUUACUCUGCCCUGAGCGAGAUCAUGGCUGACCUCAUGCUCCCAACUCCACUUCCCCGCCUGCCCCCUGUGCCUGGUGAUGCCCAGAGAGGCCGAAAGCCCAGAAUCCUGAAUAUACUCAACGGAGGGUCAUUGAGGGGAGAGAAGGAUAAACAUUCCCACCAUUCUGGGUGAGCAUCUGCCUUCGGACCUCUAGA
Carcharodon carcharias (great white shark) is the source of this 678-nucleotide long non-coding RNA. RefSeq lists it as uncharacterized. NCBI's taxonomy places the organism in Eukaryota, Metazoa, Chordata, Chondrichthyes, Lamniformes, Lamnidae. The transcript is spliced from 3 exons. The record is from RefSeq and is a predicted model, not a curated record.